RNAcentral lists this transfer RNA (88 nucleotides) under Alphaproteobacteria bacterium MarineAlpha9_Bin2. Its description in RNAcentral is "tRNA-Leu". It matches the Rfam family "tRNA". From Rfam's summary of the family: Transfer RNA (tRNA) molecules are approximately 80 nucleotides in length. The record is from RNAcentral. Lineage: Bacteria; Pseudomonadati; Pseudomonadota; Alphaproteobacteria.
GCCCUCUUGAUGGAAUUGGUAGACAUAACGGACUUAAAAUCCGUGGCUAGUUAAUGGCGUGCCGGGUCAAGUCCGGCAGAGGGCACCA